This 1621-nucleotide long non-coding RNA is filed under the name Ananas comosus (pineapple). RNAcentral's name for it is "long non-coding RNA (ACOM_LNC003914)". The record is from RNAcentral. Lineage: Eukaryota; Viridiplantae; Streptophyta; Magnoliopsida; Poales; Bromeliaceae.
UUUAUAUAUAUAUAUAUAUAUAUAUAUAGAGAGAGAGAGAGAGAGAGAGAGAGAGAGAGAGAGAGUCCGGCUGGGAUACUAUCGAUAGCAUAAAGAAUUUGUUGCUAUCGAGUUUUCUACUUUUAGAUUUAACCAUUCAAUUAUUUUUACCCGUUAGAUUAUAUUAUUUAACCAACCACUCACUCAACCCUAGAGGGCUCACAUCAUUCUAAACACACAUUUCUCAAUCCAAGGAAUAAAAAACUAAUAGCUAUUGGUGCUAUUAAUAGUAUUCCAUCCUAGUUUUAUAUAUUUAUAUAUAUAUAAAUUAAGUCCGGUUGGGAUACUAUUGAUAGCAUCAAGGAUUUGAUGCUAUCGAGAUUUUCACCGUUAGAUUUAACCCUUUGAUUAAUUUUACCCGUUAGAUUAUACUAUUCAAACAACCAUUCACUCAACCCUAGAGGCUCCAUAUCAUCCUAACCACACAUUUCUAAAUCCAAGAGUUAAAAAACUAAUAGCACCAAUAGUAUGAUGCUAUUGAUAGUAUUCCAGCCUAAUUUCAUAUAUAUAUAUAUAUAUAUAUAUAUUAUAACUCAGUGGGACCACUCAACCCCUAAGGAACUAAUAUCAUCCUAAUCCUAUAAUUUUUCAUCUAAGGGUUAAAAAUUUGAUAGCAAAAAUGAUCUUUUGCUAUCACUAGUAUUCCAGCCUAAAUCUCUCUCUCGCUAUAUAUAUAUAUAUUGCUAUUUUUUCUAUAAAAUAUUUUACAAGAAAGUCCAGAGAUGUGAUAUAUAUGGCUUUAUCUUCAUAGUUAAAAAUUGAAGCUAUAUGACACCUUAGAAAUAAAUUUUCAAUUUUUUUUUUGGUAUAUUUACGCCCUUUAAUUAGAUGGCUCUUAUUUAUUUGAUUAGAUUUUGAUUUUGCGGUAAUGAUGACUUAAAAAAAUACUUAAAAAGUUUUUUUUUUUUUUUUUGAGAGAUAGGUAGCACGCUAAUCGUUUCGCUUAUUUUAUUUAGAAAUAAACUUAACUGAAAAUAUGAAUCAACUGGAAUUCGAACUUGGAUCUCGAAUAUCAACCAUUAAACCCUUUGCCACUUGCUGGACGAUCGGUAGUACUUGUGUAGAACGCAGCGGAAGUAUUCGUUCGUACCUUUUUGCGGAGGCGAUUCGCGCAACAACGCGAUGAGCCCGGAUCGUUUAGAUUGAUUCACGUGUCCUCGGAUCGUCCUUGAAUGUCUUCUCACGUUCUAAACUCGCGAUGGAUCGAACUACAAACAAGCACGAUCACAAAUCCACCGUGCAAGUCCCUCUAGAAUAAUAGGUCAAUGGAGGAAGUGAUUUUUCUCUAUUAUUUUUUUAUUCUCUCUCUUUUUCCGUUCUUUCCGUAUAUAUUUCGCUAUGUGGGAUCGCCCGCAUAUUUAUAAGGAAUUCCAAAAUCCUAAUGGCGUUAGAGAUAAGGCCAAAUCGGUUAUUAAUUGUUAUCCUAAUAUGAUUAGAUUUAUCUCUAAUUAGCUUUCCAAUUUAAAAGCAAAAUUAAUUCUAAUUCAAUUAGAUAACAUAAUAUCCGUCGGAUCGAACUCGCUUAUGAACGUACCUGAUUCGAUUUAACCGAAUGCCAACAACUUGAAAAGUUUCAAUACGG